AAGAUCACAUAUAUAUACUCCCAAAAUACUAUUCACAUCAGAUUGUAGCUCAGGUACAAUUAUUUUUCGUCCGCCCUUCUGAACGUCCGAUUGAGCUCAAACUUGGCAGUCAUGAUCAGUUUAACCUUACUUAACGAAAGAAAUUUUAAUCUUUCAGUUUCGACCCCGUUUGGUCACCGAAAGCUGUACCGAACUGUAAUCUUUAUCAGAUAACUGUCGAAUUUAAUUUUCCACCUUCCGGGUGUCAGAAUGGCAUGAAACUUUAAAUCUAGCCUCAUAAAAAUAAUCCUAACAUAUUCCCAAAUUUUCGGAAUUUUCUGACACUGUGCAAUUUCUGCUAAAAUAUCAGCCCCGUCUCUCACAGAAAAUUUUCAAUCUUCUAUUUCACUCCGAUUUCCGUACAAGUCAAUCCUGACGUAUAAUUUACUUGUCUAAAUCUAAUAAAAAAAUAGUAUCUCACACUAUUUCUAUUUAUAUUCACUUUUAUUAAAACAAAUCCGGUAUGCUACACGGUACGCAUGUGGCCCUCCUGGCCAC
This 537-nucleotide long non-coding RNA is filed under the name Ananas comosus (pineapple). RNAcentral describes it as "long non-coding RNA (ACOM_LNC034509)". Lineage: Eukaryota; Viridiplantae; Streptophyta; Magnoliopsida; Poales; Bromeliaceae. The record is from RNAcentral.